This 254-nucleotide ribosomal RNA is filed under the name uncultured bacterium. RNAcentral's name for it is "partial 16S ribosomal RNA". It matches the Rfam family "Bacterial small subunit ribosomal RNA", at positions 524 to 776 of the family's 1533-position model. The record is from RNAcentral.
UACGGGGGGAGCAAGCGUUGUUCGGAUUUACUGGGCGUAAAGGGCGCGUAGGCGGUCAGCACAAGUCAGUUGUGAAAUCUCCGGGCUUAACUCGGAAAGGUCAACUGAUACUGUGCGACUAGAGUGCGGAAGGGGCAACUGGAAUUCUUGGUGUAGCGGUGAAAUGCGUAGAUAUCGAGAGGAACACCUGCGGCGAAGGCGGGUUGCUGGGCUGACACUGACGCUGAGGCGCGAAAGCCAGGGGAGCGAACGGG